GCCGGGCGCGGUGGUGCGUGCCUGUAGUCCCAGCGACUCGGGAGCCUGAGGUGGGAGGAUUGCUUGAGCCCAGGAGUUCUGGGCUGUAGUGCGCUAUGCCGAUCGGGUGUCCGCACUAAGUUCGGCAUCAAUAUGGUGACCUCCCGGGAGCGGGGGACCACCAGGUUGCCUAAGGAGGGGUAAACUGGCCCAGGUCGGAUACGGAGCAGGUCAAAACUCCCGUGCUCAUCAGUAGUGGGAUCACGCCUGUGAAUAGCCACUGCAUUCCAGCCUGGGCAAUAUAGCGAGACCCCAUUUCU
RNAcentral lists this signal recognition particle RNA (299 nucleotides) under Cebus imitator (Panamanian white-faced capuchin). RNAcentral describes it as "Metazoan signal recognition particle RNA (ENSCCAG00000014008.1)". It matches the Rfam family "Metazoan signal recognition particle RNA". Rfam says of the family: The signal recognition particle (SRP) is a universally conserved ribonucleoprotein. Lineage: Eukaryota; Metazoa; Chordata; Mammalia; Primates; Cebidae. The record is from RNAcentral.